UUAAAUUGAAGAGUUUGAUCAUGGCUCAGAUUGAACGCUGGCGGCAGGCCUAACACAUGCAAGUCGAACGGUAGCACAGAGAGCUUGCUCUCGGGUGACG
This 100-nucleotide ribosomal RNA is filed under the name Salmonella enterica. Its description in RNAcentral is "partial 16S ribosomal RNA". It matches the Rfam family "Bacterial small subunit ribosomal RNA", at positions 1 to 95 of the family's 1533-position model. Lineage: Bacteria; Pseudomonadati; Pseudomonadota; Gammaproteobacteria; Enterobacterales; Enterobacteriaceae. RNAcentral also lists the same sequence under 4 other names. The record is from RNAcentral.